Molecule: ribosomal RNA, 494 nt
Filed under: uncultured bacterium
Lineage: Bacteria
Description: partial 16S ribosomal RNA
Rfam family: Bacterial small subunit ribosomal RNA
Source: RNAcentral
GACGAACGCUGGCGGCGUGCUUAACACAUGCAAGUCGAACGGAAAGGCCUGCUUUCCCUUGUGGAUUGCGGGUACUCGAGUGGCGAACGGGUGAGUAACACGUGAGUGAUCUGCCCCCAACUUGGGUAUAAGCCUGGGAAACUGGGUCUAAUUCCCGAUAGGACUGCAGGGUGGUGCCUGUGGUGGAAAACGAUUUUCUAGUGGUUGGGGAUGAGCUCGCGGCCUAUCAGCUUGUUGGGGGGGUAAUGGCCUACCAAGGCGGCGACGGGUAGCCGGCCUGAGAGGGUGGACGGCCACAUUGGGACUGAGAUACGGCCCCGACUCCUGCGGGAGGCAGCAGUGGGGAAUAUUGCACAAUGGGCGGAAGCCUGAUGCAGCGACGCCGCGUGGGGGAUGACGGCCUUCGGGUUGUAAACUCCUUUCGACCGCGAGGAAGCCACCUGGUUGGAAGGGUGGUGACGGUAGUGGUAGAAGAAGCACCGGCUAACUACGUG